This 3244-nucleotide long non-coding RNA is filed under the name Capsicum annuum. RNAcentral's name for it is "long non-coding RNA (CANN_LNC020042)". Lineage: Eukaryota; Viridiplantae; Streptophyta; Magnoliopsida; Solanales; Solanaceae. The record is from RNAcentral.
CAUCGCAUUUCGAAACUUGAAGAAUCAGAGUGUUCUUUAACUUCUUCAGGUCACAAGCCAAACGAAAAGGAUUUUACAAAUACUGAACCUAGUCAAACGGUUAAUAUUGAGAGUCUGCAAAAUGAUUCCUUUCUGGGAAUGUUGCAAAUCGUCACCGCUCAUAAAUGGUAUAUUAAUUGUACCAUUUUAGUAAAUAAGGAAUUCUUUAUCACUAAUGUCGCCAUGAUUGACAGCGGGGCAGACGUUAGUUGUAUUCAAGAAGGGUUAAUCCCUACAAAAUAUUUUGAGAAAAUCCUACUCCUUCAGAAAUGGAAUUUGACAUUAACUCUGUUUAGUGAUGAUUAGACAAGUUAUUGAUUUUAGUCCUGGUUCGCAGGCACGAAAAUAUAUUCAACAAGAAUUCUUUACUAAAAAAUGGUUAACUUUUAGAACUUGGUUCUUUGAAACAUUUUCUAACGAUGAACUACGGAAUAUUUCUGAAGAAUUUUAUGAAAUGUGUGCUCUGCAUAAUCAAAUUAUCUUUUUUGUUCCAUGGUUUAUGUCUGCAUCUCUACCCUCUUAUAUUAACCUCCUUGAGCGCUCCUACCAACAUCCUGAUGGCACCACUACUCAAGCUCAAUAUCCUCCACAAUCUUCAUUUAUCUUGCCCAAUAACACGGGUAUGACUUUCUCGGCUUUUCAAAAAUUUAUCAAAGACGAUAUUGGAAAAAUAACGGUUUCUGAAAUCAAUAAUCUUUUUUCUCAAAACAAUUAUUUAAGUCUCUAUGUAAAAGUUUUGGGUGAACAUAUCUCCUCUUUAGAUACUAAACUCGACGACCUCAUUUUAUUAGUUAAUAAACUCAGUACCCAAACAAACUCUUCUAAUAUUGCCUCAACUUCCAAAACCCCUGCGGCAGAAGAAGGAAUCAUUCUUUCUAAACCUGGUAUUCAACGACCUCUAGAAAUAGAGGGAUUUACUAAGGCUUCGCCCCUAGAACAACUAGAAAAUCUCUUAGAUAAAAAAUUCUCUGGACUCAAUAUCCGACCUCUGACUAUGUCCAAAGAUCAUAUCCAAACUAUUGAGUCAAAUUUUGCGGAUCAUCUCGCAUCCUCCGAUCAUCCAGGAGAAGUUCUCUCUUCCGAACUUUAUAAACUCAGAGGACUAAUGAAAACACAAUCCGGUAAAAAAUUCGCUGAUAUUCCCCGCAUGUCUACCGCUUAUUAUCCUCGUCCCACUCCUCAAGAUGUUCUGAUCGAAGAAAGGGAUUGGAAUCAAACAAACACUUCGUAUAGCGGCGACGCUAUUUACGAAUGGAAUAUUGAUGGUCUUUCUGAUCGCCAAAUCUCUAUUCUAAUUCAUCGUAUGUCCAUGUAUGCUACUAUUUGUCUGGCCACAAAAGCCACUGAUAGAAACGCCAAAACUGACCAAACAAUCUGUAAAAUGAUUGUUGCUGGAUUCACUGGUCAACUCCGUGGCUGGUGGGAUAAUUUCCUUGAUGACACUAAACGCGCGGCGAUUUUUGACGCCACCAAUGACAAAGAGGGCAAAGAUAAUCUUGGCCGCACUCUUGCAGCAGGCCGAUCUGAUGCCGUUUAUACCCUCAUGCUGACUAUUAUUGAACACUUUGGCGGUAGGUUCACUAAUCAUCAUGAAAAUAUUCGCACUCUUCUUAAUGGGUUAAAAUGCCGCCACUUAGGCGAAUUUCGUUGGUAUAAAGAUACCUUUCUUAGCCGGGUUAUGGAUUUACCCGAAAGUAGAUACGAACACUGGAAAGCCAAAUUCAUUGAUGGUCUUCCUCCCCUUUGUGCGGAACGGGUUCGCAAAACUCGGCGCGGAGCGUAUGGUGAGAGCCCCUAUGCUGACAAAACUUAUGGUCAAUUGAUCGUAGCUUGUACUCAAGAAGGGUUAGCCCUUUGUAACGAGUUAAAACUGGCUAGACAGAUCAAAAUUGAUAAACUCCGAGAAAAAACUCAAUUAGGUAAUUUCUGCGAACAAUUUGGCAUGGAAAAACCCUUAAUUCGAAAACCUUACAAAUCUUCCACAUAUCAAUCUAAACGUCCUCGGCGACGUAGUAAGGAGCAGCGAGAAAUUCGUAAAUCCUUCCGAAAAUCUACUCGAUUUGCUAAAAAUCAUUCAAAACGAGACUUAGCAAAGAUUAAAUGCUACAAAUGCAAUCAAUACGGUCAUAUUUCUCCAAAUUGUAAAUUACAAAAAUUAAAAACCCUGAAUCUCUCUGAUGACAUUCAGAAUCAAGUCUAUAAUUUGUUGUACACUUCUGAUUCUGACUCCGAUUCAGACUCCACUUCUGAAAAUGAUUUUCAACUACCUGACUCUGAUAAUCAUCUUGAACAACCUGAAAAAUGUGUUGAUUGUGAUAAUCAUGAUUGCAAUUGUGAUGAAGUAAUGUACAAACUUCAAGCUCAAUUUGAAGAUGUUGAUUUAGAUGUUAAAACCAUUACUUCUGAAAAUGUUCUCGAAUUGUUAAAGGAAGUCACGGACGAAAAGCUUCGUGACAAAAUUUUGCAUUUAGCCACUCCAAAAUCUUCUAGUUCUACUGUUUCAGCACGAGAUAAUUUUGAAACUCAGCCUAUGGCAUAUUCUUUGGAUGAAGUUCAUCGAAGGUUAGCUUUAAGCAAAAUUCCCGGUCGCGAUACCACUUUUAAUGAUUUAAAAAUCGAAGUUGAAAAACUAAAAAGGGAAAUUAUUUCUUUAAAACAAAAUCAGAUAAUUACUGAGCAUCGCAUUUCGAAACUUGAAGAAACUGAUUGUUCUUCUUCAGGUCACAAGCCAAACGAAAAAGAUUUUACAAAUACUGAUCUUAGUCAAACGGUUAAUAUUGAUAGUCUGCAAAAUGAUUCCUUUCUAGGAAUGUUGCAAAUCGUUACUGCUCAUAAAUGGUAUAUUAAUUGUACCAUUUUAGUUAAUAAGGAAUUCUUUAUCACUAAUGUCGCCAUGAUUGACAGUGGGGCAGACGUUAGUUGUAUUCAAGAAGGGUUAAUCCCUACAAAAUAUUUUGAAAAAACUACUCACCUCGUUAAAUCUGCAACUGGUCACUCACUUGACAUUAAUUAUAAACUGCCUCAUGCUCAUAUUUGUCGUGACAAGAUAUGCAUUCCUCACUUUUUCUUUUUAGUGAAAAAUCAGAUUUAUCCUCCUAUUAUUUUAGGAACCCCGUUUAUAAAUGCUAUAUAUCCCUACACUCAUAUAGACGAAAAGGGAUUUAGAGCUACUUAUAAAAAUCAGCCUAUUUCUUAUUCUUUUGUU